GUGCUCGCUGGAGGGCGGCGCGAGGGGCCGAGCCGACAAGAUGUUCUUGCUGCCUCUUCCGGCUGCGGGGCUAGUCGUCGUCCGACGUCUGGCCGUGAGACGUUUCGGGAGCCGGAGUCUCUCCACCGCAGACAUGACGAAGGGCCUUGUUUUAGGAAUCUAUUCCAAAGAAAAAGAAGAUGAUGUGCCACAGUUCACAAGUGCAGGAGAGAAUUUUGAUAAAUUGUUAGCUGGAAAGCUGAGAGAGACUUUGAACAUAUCUGGACCACCUCUGAAGGCAGGCAAGACUCGAACCUUUUAUGGUCUGCAUCAGGUAUGAGAAGAACAUGAUCAUUUGGUAAACCUUCAGUGAGCACCUACUGUAUACCAAGUAUUGGGGCUGUCUAGUCAUACUAAACAUUUUGUGUUGGAUUGUAUGAUUUUAUUCCAGUAUUAAGCAGAAACAUUUAAGAUUAAGAGGUGAAUUGCUGUCAAAAAGUACUGCCUAUCUUAUAUUCCUCAAUCUGAAGGCUUUCUUUAUCCGGUCGUGGCUCUGGCUUACAUAGAAUUAUUUGCAAGAGUAUCCUCACUCUGCCUCUCAAACAUAGAAGUUAUAAAAUUUUGCCAGGACACAAAGGUUUAAAGAAAAAAAAGCCACAACCAAAUUUC
This 648-nucleotide small RNA is filed under the name Pongo abelii (Sumatran orangutan). RNAcentral's name for it is "retained intron". Lineage: Eukaryota; Metazoa; Chordata; Mammalia; Primates; Hominidae. The record is from RNAcentral.